CAACGCCGCGUGGAGGAUCGAAGAAUUCGGUUCGUAAACUCCUUCGACCGAGAUGAAACCCAGGGACUUAAUACAUCCUUGGACUGACAGUAUCGAGAGAAGAAGCCCCGGCUAACUCUGUGCCAGCAGCCGCGGUAAUACAGGGGGGGCAAGCGUUGUUCGGAAUUACUGGGCGUAAAGGGUUCGUAGGUGGCCAACUAAGUCAGACGUGAAAUCCCUCAGCUUAACUGGGGAACUGCGUCUGAUACUGGUUGGCUUGAGUGCAGGAGAGGAAUGCGGAAUUCCAGGUGUAGCGGUGAAAUGCGUAGAUAUCUGGAGGAACACCGGUGGCGAAGGCGGCAUUCUGGACUGUAACUGACACUGAGGAACGAAAGCCAGGGGAGCAAACGGGAUUAGAUACCCCGGUAGUCCUGGCCCUAAACGAUGAAUGCUUGGUGUGGCGGGUAUCGAUCCCUGCCGUGCCGAAGUUAACGCAUUAAGCAUUCCGCCUGGGGAGUACGGUCGCAAGGCUG
Molecule: ribosomal RNA, 512 nt
Filed under: uncultured Acidobacteriota bacterium
Lineage: Bacteria; Pseudomonadati; Acidobacteriota
Description: bacterial SSU rRNA
Rfam family: Bacterial small subunit ribosomal RNA
Source: RNAcentral